UACAGAGGUCUCAAGCGUUGUUCGGAUUCAUUGGGCGUAAAGGGCGCGUAGGCGGCAAUUCAAGUCAGUUGUGAAAUCUCCGAGCUUAACUCGGAACGGUCAACUGAUACUGUCUUGCUAGAGUACAGAAGGGGCAAUCGGAAUUCUUGGUGUAGCGGUGAAAUGCGUAGAUAUCAAGAGGAACACCUGAGGUGAAGACGGGUUGCUGGGCUGAUACUGACGCUGAGGCGCGAAAGCUAGGGUAGCAAACGGG
RNAcentral lists this ribosomal RNA (253 nucleotides) under uncultured bacterium. RNAcentral's name for it is "partial 16S ribosomal RNA". It matches the Rfam family "Bacterial small subunit ribosomal RNA", at positions 524 to 776 of the family's 1533-position model. The record is from RNAcentral.